AAGCUCACAUGGAAGAACUCUCAAUACAGGGAGAGACUACAUACCUACUGGGUGACUCAGGGUAUCCUCUCCGGUCAUUCAUGAUGACUCCAGUGGACCAUGCAGUAGACGACUCACCUGAAGGGCGCUACAAUAUAAUUCAGAAACGUGCCCGUUCCACUGUAGAGCGCACAUUUGGAAUACUAAAAGGGAGAUGGAGAUGCUUAUUAGCCGCCAGAGAAUUAAAUUACACUCCUGAGACCGCUGGCAAAAUUGCAAUUGCAUGCAGUGUAUUGCACAACAUGUGCAUACAUGCUCGGCUCGACCAUCCUGAAUUAACAGAGGAGGACCUCGCAGCUGAGAACGCCCUGCCCAUUCCCCAGCAAGCUGCAAUUCCACAAGGACGGGCAUUGGAGGAAGGAAGAAGAGUAUGCAGAGUACUAAUACAUUUAUUAGAGGCAUAAUAUGCCCCUGGCUUUGUAUGGAUAUACUUAUAUAAGACAAAACAAUCCUUAUUGUGAGGUUGUAGAAGAGAUUACUUUUAGUAAUACGGCCACUGAUUGUACUAUUUCUUUUCUAUGUUUGUGAAACUGUUUCUGUUUGUGUGCAAUAAAGAGUAUUUUAUCUUUACCUACCUAUAUUUUUUUAAUUUUCAUUGUUUCUGUUAUGAAUGUGUUUCUAUUAUAUCCAUAAAAAUAUGGUUUUACCGAUCCUAAGAUACUUACUUUGUGUGGAUACAUCUAUUCAUGCUAACACACUUAUUUAUAAAGAAUAAAACAAUUUUUCUAAAUGAGAGAUUUUUAUUUUUUGGUUUCAGUCAAAUAUUGCUACUUAUUGCUUAAACACUGAUAAAAUGCACUGUUUUCGCGCAGCCCCCCAAAGCAUUCAGCUUUUGGGCGAUUUCCUGCCACAGGCGAUUGCUUCGCACUCUCCCAUCUACGCUCCUCAUACGACCGCGCGCGAGGUCUUGGUGC
Molecule: long non-coding RNA, 953 nt
Organism: Plutella xylostella (diamondback moth)
Lineage: Eukaryota; Metazoa; Arthropoda; Insecta; Lepidoptera; Plutellidae
Source: RefSeq, a predicted model, not a curated record